Molecule: ribosomal RNA, 322 nt
Filed under: Trypanosoma vegrandis
Lineage: Eukaryota; Euglenozoa; Kinetoplastea; Trypanosomatida; Trypanosomatidae
Description: bacterial SSU rRNA
Rfam family: Eukaryotic small subunit ribosomal RNA (bases 216-312)
Source: RNAcentral
GCUUUUGUUGGUUUUAAAAGUCCAUUGGAGAUUAUGGGACCGUGUGACAAGCGGUCGGGCGCGUUUUGCAUCUGAUCAUAAUUUCUUUUAUGACUCAGGCUGCGCAGCCCGUCGCCCCCGAGGAAGACCAAAAACGUGCACGUGUAGGAUGGUGUGUCUUGCCACACUCACGCGCACGUUUCCUUCUUCGGCUCGCGGCGCCCAGGAAUGAAGGAGGGUAGUUCGGGGGGGGACGUAUUGGUGCGUCAGAGGUGAAAUUCUUGGACCGCACCAGGACGAACUACAGCGAAGGCAUUCUUCAAGGAACCUUCCUCAAUCAAGA